RNAcentral lists this ribosomal RNA (118 nucleotides) under Sphenodon punctatus (tuatara). Lineage: Eukaryota; Metazoa; Chordata; Lepidosauria; Sphenodontia; Sphenodontidae. The record is from RNAcentral.
UUCUGCAGCCAGACAGCCUGUUCUGUCAUUCCUUCCAUUCUUAUACCCUAAGCAAGGUCAGGCAAGUUCAGUACUUGGAUGGGAUACUGCCAAGAAACACCUACUGUGGUUGCUGAAG